RNAcentral lists this long non-coding RNA (229 nucleotides) under Hordeum vulgare. Its description in RNAcentral is "long non-coding RNA (HVUL_LNC014815)". The record is from RNAcentral. Lineage: Eukaryota; Viridiplantae; Streptophyta; Magnoliopsida; Poales; Poaceae.
UUGAUGAUGUUGUACUUUAGAUAAUUUUGCCUGUCUUUCUCGUGAUGACCGCAGCUUUCUUCUAUGUGAUGGUAGUUUAGAUGAUCGAUAUCGACUUGUAAUGUGAAGACAAAGUCGCUACUCGCGGUCUCGAGACUUGUAAUGUUCUAACUUUGUUUGGUAUUUUAAAUUCGGAGACUAAUAUGAUGAAUUGUAUUCGGAGACUAAUCUUCUAUUGUAUUCGAUAAAU